UUGGCUGGCAAGAAAAAGAGGCUGUUCAUGGUCCACAUGACACUAGCUUUUACAUUUUCUUCAACUUUUCCUAGAAAUUUUGCUGAGCAUUUCUUUUAAGCCAUAUCAUAAAGUCAUGAAGAAAAGUUGACUUGUAUUUCUGUGAAGAAGGUGGAAUGAUGAUUCGUAGAAACUUCUUAUGAGAUUGUGCCUUAGUGGUGGACCUUAUGUAUUACCCAGGGAAAUUGGAUUCUCAAUUAUUAUUGCUGCAGAUCUAGGUCAAUCCAAGACUCAAAUGGGGGAUAUUACAAUUAUUUUUCCUUUUUAUUGUAUGGGAAGUUCCUAUUCUCUAAUAGAUAUUAUAAGUCCAAGAGGAUCAAGACGAUUAGGCAUUGUUGCCUUCUUUGAAGGUUGCCAAAAAGAGUCAUUUGGAUGGUCCUCUAGUCUUAGCAUACUCAUGAAGCCCAUCUGUUUUCUUAUUUUUGGGUUGUUUUUGAACAUUUUCAUGGCUUGCUUAGCAGUGGAGGUGGGUAAUAUCACCUAUGCAUCAGUGUGCAGCUGGAUUGGUGUCACUUGUGGUUCUCGCCACCAUAGAGUGACAGCACUUAACCAUGCUCGAGAAGUUGUCUGUUGCACGUAACAACUUCGAAGGAGCAUAGCAACCAUUAUUGGAAACUGUAGAUUGCUCAAGGAAAUAGAUCUCAGCGAUAACAAAUUGACUGGUGGGUUCUCCUCAUCAACAAGCUCCUUAGCAACUCCCAUUUUAUCAUCCAUCCCCAAACUAUGCAAGCUAGCAAUGGACACUCUUUUCCUUGAUGAAUGAAGUGUGGCCCUAUGAACCACACUCUUGUAGAUUCCAUU
Molecule: long non-coding RNA, 840 nt
Organism: Tripterygium wilfordii
Lineage: Eukaryota; Viridiplantae; Streptophyta; Magnoliopsida; Celastrales; Celastraceae
Exons: 3
Source: RefSeq, a predicted model, not a curated record